CCCUUAGAUGUUCUGGGCCGCACGCGCGCUACACUGACAGAGCCAGCGAGUUUUUUUCCUUGGCCGGAAGGUCUGGGUAAUCUUGUGAAACUCUGUCGUGCUGGGGAUAGAGCAUUGCAAUUAUUGCUCUUCAACGAGGAAUACCUAGUAAGCGUGAGUCAUCAGCUCGCGUUGAUUACGUCCCUGCCCUUUGUACACACCGCCCGUCGCUACUACCGAUUGAAUGGCUUAGUGAGGUCUUGGGAUUGGCUUCGGGGAGCCGGCAACGGCACCCUGUUGCUGAGAACUUGAUCAAACUUGGUCAUUUAGAGGAAGUAAAAGUCGUANCA
Molecule: ribosomal RNA, 329 nt
Filed under: uncultured eukaryote
Lineage: Eukaryota
Description: partial 18S ribosomal RNA
Rfam family: Eukaryotic small subunit ribosomal RNA
Source: RNAcentral